GGGGUGCUGGCGCAACGGCAGCGCGUCUGACUCCAGAUCAGAAGGUUAUGGGUUCAAAUCCCAUGUGUCCCA
This is a non-coding RNA of Coelomomyces lativittatus, 72 nucleotides long. NCBI's taxonomy places the organism in Eukaryota, Fungi, Blastocladiomycota, Blastocladiomycetes, Blastocladiales, Coelomomycetaceae. The record is from the annotation of a GenBank genome assembly.